This 1360-nucleotide ribosomal RNA is filed under the name uncultured bacterium. RNAcentral's name for it is "bacterial SSU rRNA". It matches the Rfam family "Bacterial small subunit ribosomal RNA", at positions 28 to 1381 of the family's 1533-position model. The record is from RNAcentral.
GAUGAACGCUAGCUACAGGCUUAACACAUGCAAGUCGAGGGGCAGCAUUUCAGUUUGCUUUGCAAACUGGAGAUGGCGACCGGCGCACGGGUGAGUAACACGUAUCCAACCUGCCGAUAACUCGGGGAUAGCCUUUCGAAAGAAAGAUUAAUACCCGAUGGUAUAAUCAGACCGCAUGGUCUUGUUAUUAAAGAAUUUCGGUUAUCGAUGGGGAUGCGUUCCAUUAGGCAGUUGGUGAGGUAACGGCUCACCAAACCUUCGAUGGAUAGGGGUUCUGAGAGGAAGGUCCCCCACAUUGGAACUGAGACACGGUCCAAACUCCUACGGGAGGCAGCAGUGAGGAAUAUUGGUCAAUGGGCGCAGGCCUGAACCAGCCAAGUAGCGUGAAGGAUGACUGCCCUAUGGGUUGUAAACUUCUUUUAUAUGGGAAUAAAGUUUUCCACGUGUGGAAUUUUGUAUGUACCAUAUGAAUAAGGAUCGGCUAACUCCGUGCCAGCAGCCGCGGUAAUACGGAGGAUCCGAGCGUUAUCCGGAUUUAUUGGGUUUAAAGGGAGCGUAGGUGGACAGUUAAGUCAGUUGUGAAAGUUUGCGGCUCAACCGUAAAAUUGCAGUUGAUACUGGCUGUCUUGAGUACAGUAGAGGUGGGCGGAAUUCGUGGUGUAGCGGUGAAAUGCUUAGAUAUCACGAAGAACUCCGAUUGCGAAGGCAGCUCACUGGACUGCAACUGACACUGAUGCUCGAAAGUGUGGGUAUCAAACAGGAUUAGAUACCCUGGUAGUCCACACAGUAAACGAUGAAUACUCGCUGUUUGCGAUAUACAGUAAGCGGCCAAGCGAAAGCAUUAAGUAUUCCACCUGGGGAGUACGCCGGCAACGGUGAAACUCAAAGGAAUUGACGGGGGCCCGCACAAGCGGAGGAACAUGUGGUUUAAUUCGAUGAUACGCGAGGAACCUUACCCGGGCUUAAAUUGCAUUUGAAUAUAUUGGAAACAGUAUAGCCGUAAGGCAAAUGUGAAGGUGCUGCAUGGUUGUCGUCAGCUCGUGCCGUGAGGUGUCGGCUUAAGUGCCAUAACGAGCGCAACCCUUAUCUUUAGUUACUAACAGGUCAUGCUGAGGACUCUAGAGAGACUGCCGUCGUAAGAUGUGAGGAAGGUGGGGAUGACGUCAAAUCAGCACGGCCCUUACGUCCGGGGCUACACACGUGUUACAAUGGGGGGUACAGAAGGCAGCUACCUGGUGACAGGAUGCUAAUCCCAAAAGCCUCUCUCAGUUCGGAUCGAAGUCUGCAACCCGACUUCGUGAAGCUGGAUUCGCUAGUAAUCGCGCAUCAGCCAUGGCGCGGUGAAUACGUUCCCGGGCCU